This 253-nucleotide ribosomal RNA is filed under the name uncultured bacterium. RNAcentral describes it as "partial 16S ribosomal RNA". It matches the Rfam family "Bacterial small subunit ribosomal RNA", at positions 524 to 776 of the family's 1533-position model. The record is from RNAcentral.
GACGAACCGAGCGAACGUUGUUCGGAAUCACUGGGCUUAAAGGGCGCGUAGGCGGGUUCGCAAGUCUGUGGUGAAAUCCUCCGGCUCAACCGGAGAACUGCCUCGGAAACUGCGAGUCUCGAGGGUGGCAGGGGUAUGCGGAACUAUCGGUGGAGCGGUGAAAUGCGUUGAUAUCGAUAGGAACUCCGGUGGCGAAGGCGGCAUACUGGUCCACUUCUGACGCUGAGGCGCGAAAGCCAGGGGAGCAAACGGG